UGGGGAAGCCCUGGAUCCUGGGCUGUGUCCCCUGGUGCCCUGGGCUCCCGGGCCUGAGCCACUGGAAUCGCGCUCCCGGGCCGCGCAGCCCCCU
Molecule: non-coding RNA, 94 nt
Organism: Canis lupus familiaris (dog)
Lineage: Eukaryota; Metazoa; Chordata; Mammalia; Carnivora; Canidae
Source: Rfam